ACUUUAACCUGGAAGUACUUGCUGGAUGUUGAAAAAGUAAGUGCUUCCUUGUUUUAGUUG
Molecule: microRNA precursor, 60 nt
Filed under: Sphenodon punctatus (tuatara)
Lineage: Eukaryota; Metazoa; Chordata; Lepidosauria; Sphenodontia; Sphenodontidae
Description: Spt-Mir-430-P4_pre stem-loop
Source: RNAcentral